GAUGAACGCUGGCGGCGUGCCUAAUACAUGCAAGUCGAGCGAACAGACGAGGAGCUUGCUCCUCUGACGUUAGCGGCGGACGGGUGAGUAACACGUGGAUAACCUACCUAUAAGACUGGGAUAACUUCGGGAAACCGGAGCUAAUACCGGAUAAUAUAUUGAACCGCAUGGUUCAAUAGUGAAAGACGGUUUUGCUGUCACUUAUAGAUGGAUCCGCGCCGCAUUAGCUAGUUGGUAAGGUAACAGCUUACCAAGGCAACGAUGCGUAGCCGGCCUGAGAGGGUGAUAGGCCACACUGGAACUGAGACACGGUCCAGACUCCUACGGGAGGCAGCAGUAGGGAAUCUUCCGCAAUGGGCGAAAGCCUGACGGAGCAACGCCGCGUGAGUGAUGAAGGUCUUCGGAUCGUAAAACUCUGUUAUUAGGGAAGAACAAAUGUGUAAGUAACUAUGCACGUCUUGACGGUACCUAAUCAGAAAGCCACGGCUAACUACGUG
This 497-nucleotide ribosomal RNA is filed under the name uncultured bacterium. RNAcentral describes it as "partial 16S ribosomal RNA". It matches the Rfam family "Bacterial small subunit ribosomal RNA", at positions 28 to 507 of the family's 1533-position model. The record is from RNAcentral.